RNAcentral lists this ribosomal RNA (432 nucleotides) under uncultured fungus. Its description in RNAcentral is "eukaryotic LSU rRNA". It matches the Rfam family "Eukaryotic large subunit ribosomal RNA", at positions 1 to 432 of the family's 3401-position model. Lineage: Eukaryota; Fungi. The record is from RNAcentral.
GACCUCGGAUCAGGUAGGAAUACCCGCUGAACUUAAGCAUAUCAAUAAGCGGAGGAAAAGAAACCAACAGGGAUUACCCUAGUAACGGCGAGUGAAGCGGUAACAGCUCAAAUUUGAAAUCUGGCCUUUACAGGUCCGAGUUGUAAUUUGUAGAGGAUGUUUCGGGCAAGGCUGCGGUUUAAGUUUCUUGGAACAGAACGUCAUAGAGGGUGAGAAUCCCGUCUAGAACCGAUGGCCGCGUCCAUGUGAAACUCCUUCGACGAGUCGAGUUGUUUGGGAAUGCAGCUCAAAAUGGGUGGUAAAUUUCAUCUAAAGCUAAAUAUUGGCCAGAGACCGAUAGCGCACAAGUAGAGUGAUCGAAAGAUGAAAAGCACUUUGAAAAGAGAGUUAAACAGUAUGUGAAAUUGUUGAAAGGGAAGCGCUUGCAACCAG